Molecule: non-coding RNA, 24 nt
Filed under: Cricetulus griseus (Chinese hamster)
Lineage: Eukaryota; Metazoa; Chordata; Mammalia; Rodentia; Cricetidae
Source: RNAcentral
AAUGGUAGAAUGGCUGACCACAGC